GUAGAUCCAGGAUGAGUGAACUAAGGGAGUGGAAGUAAUGUCAGAGGGUGGCUGAGGGGCUGAGCUCAGUACGGACUUGGUGACCUCCUGCUCCCCAUCUGAGGCCCAGGGCCCACAGACAGGCGGUGGAGCUGAAGUUCAGUUUCCAAGUUUAUUGCCGGGACCUAGGGAGGAGCUGGCUGAUGGACAGGCCUCUCGAAGACGUGUCCGACCUCUGGCCUGGGGUCCAGCCGGGCCUGACCCUGGUCUCUGUGGUCGUGAGGCAGGUCAGGCAGCAUGAAGAGAUCUGCCUUCUCAGGGUUUGGGUCACUGCAGGCAGGGACAGCUCGAGUGAGCAGCCUGGGGCAGCCGCCUCCUCCCUCCCUGCCCCACGGCUGCCCACACACCUGAGCAGAGCCACUUUCAGCAGAGCCUGGGUUUCCUUCCGCAGGGCCUUCACUUCAUCCUGGAUGGCCUGGGCCUCCUCCUGGAUCGCCUGGGCUCCCUCCUUCAGGCUCCGAUACAACAAGAAUCCUGUGCAUCUUCUGGCCAAGUAACCACAGACAUGGUUCUUCUUCACACUGAGCCCCCCUGCGCCUCUAGAUCCCCGUGGACUUGUGGCAUAGGCUUGUGGCUGUGUUAUAUUGUACCUUUCUAGGCAGCCUAAAAUUACACAAUUCCUGACCACGUGAUAUAAACCGACACUCUGCAGAGGGCCCUGUAACCCCAGAAAGUCCUUGAGUCCAGCGUAGUAGGGCUGCUGGAGAAUAGGCAGCUCUGUCACCAGGGGAACCUGGCUGCGGAACGAUCGAUCAAGAGUCAUGCCUCUGAGAAACUCACUUUGCAAACUAGGCUUAAAGAAACAACUCCAAAUAAAAGCAACUCACACGGACGACCACAAUAGCUGAUUUGCACCAUGAAGAAAAACUGGAAGUGGCCUAAAAGGCCCAAAUAUAAGAAAUGGUAAGGAAACAAAGACUUACUCACAUGCUGGGAUACAUUCACUCACGCGCUUACAGGCACAUUGCCUAUGGCAUAGGUCCUGGGAACAUAUAGAUGGACGCAACCUGGUUCUGCCCAGGAGAAGUUCCUGGAGGAUGGGGGAGGCUCAGGUUUGCAGAUGACCACAGUGCAUGGGGAUGAGCCACAAGAGGUCUGUACAGAGAGGCUGCAAGAAGAGGGAGUCAUGCCCUCUGCUUUGGAGCUCCGGAAAGACUACAUGGAGGAUGUGCCGCCUGGUCUCAAACAAGAACGCAGGGGAAUCCAGAGCAAGAGCUGUGGGGUCCUGCGAAGGGCCCACAGCAGGGCCUGGGCUGUAGCCCUCUGGGGAUGAGGAGGUAUGGGGAUCUUUGUGAGUCUGUCUAUGUGGGCUGUUUGGCCACAGUUCAGAGGGUGGGUGGAAGGAGGGAGGCACUGGGGGGAGAAUUGCCAAGGGUUUUGGAAGUGAAGAAGUUGGUGGCUGCGUGUGACAAGUGUCUAAACUGAGUUAAUCCUGGAGAAGGUGUGCAUGAGACCCUGACACACUUACUAUAGAAUGGGCCAGGUACCAUUGUACCCACGUAGCGUUGCCAAAUAAAACACAGAAUGCCAGGUUAAA
Callithrix jacchus (white-tufted-ear marmoset) is the source of this 1576-nucleotide non-coding RNA. NCBI's taxonomy places the organism in Eukaryota, Metazoa, Chordata, Mammalia, Primates, Cebidae. The record is from RefSeq and is a predicted model, not a curated record.